UGCCAGCAGCCGCGGUAAUACGAAGGUCCCAAGCGUUGUUCGGAAUCACUGGGCGUAAAGGGUGCGCAGGCGGCCAAGUGUGUCGGAGGUGAAAUCUUGCAGCUUAACUGUAAAAUUGCCUACGAAACUACUUGGCUAGAGUAUCGGAGAGGAUAGCGGAAUUCCAGGUGUAGCAGUGAAAUGCGUAGAUAUCUGGAGGAACACCAAUGGCGAAGGCAGCUAUCUGGACGAUUACUGACGCUCAGGCACGAAAGCAUGGGGAGCGAAAGGGAUUAGAUA
RNAcentral lists this ribosomal RNA (279 nucleotides) under uncultured bacterium. RNAcentral describes it as "partial 16S ribosomal RNA". It matches the Rfam family "Bacterial small subunit ribosomal RNA", at positions 506 to 784 of the family's 1533-position model. The record is from RNAcentral.